Molecule: long non-coding RNA, 1685 nt
Filed under: Marmota monax (woodchuck)
Lineage: Eukaryota; Metazoa; Chordata; Mammalia; Rodentia; Sciuridae
Source: RNAcentral
GGUGUGUCUGGGUGUGUGGGAGCUGCACUGUCUGGGACCCUGGGUGUGACAGGGUCGUGGCCAUCAGUGGACCACAUGGAACUCCCCAGGGGAGUGGGGAUGGCGGUGAAAUGUCAAGACAGUGGGUAGGACCACUGGCAGUCUGUGACUGUGACAUAUGUCAAACCUCUGUGUGUGAUGUGGGGUGACCAUGACCCCAGGAAGGAUGUUUGUGUAACUGCCUGGGGGAUGUCCAUUUCCUGAGGGCUCUGAUGCUGAGAUGUGUGUCUGUAACUGUCUGAAUCUAUGUCUGGUAUGUGGUGGUGGUGACCAUGACCCUAUGGAAUAUAUUGGUGUGACUGUUUUGCUACUGAAGUCUUUGCUUGUGUCAUGUCCCAAUGAAGCUCCAAGGUUGGGCUGUGUUUAUGUGAUGGGGUGACACUCUGUUUGUAUCUGUAUGUGUGGGCUGUGACUGCUGCAGGUGUCGCACUCCAUGUGUCCUGGUUCAGGCAUGAGCCCCUGUGUGUCCACUGCAACUCUGAGAGGUGAAUGUAAGAUUGUGGGACACUGCCUAUAUUUCAGUCUCUGUAGGAGAGCAUAUGUACCACAUCCUUAUGGGGCUACAGUGACUACAGUCCAUGUCACUGUGUCCUUGCUUUGUGUUUCUGCCACUCAGGGCCAGGCCUCAGCAGUGUCUCCACACAUGAGGCUGGUGACAAUGGCAACAUGUCCUUGCACAGUGAGCUUCUCCUGUCCCCCCAUCCCAACUUGGCCCCGUGCAGCUCCCAGACCUGGGGCAGGAGGAGGGCCCAGGAUGCUCACAUUCAGCCACAGUGCUGCCAACUGCUCUAGGCCCACGGCAGCACCGCACUCCCACUGUCUUCUACCCCAGACAAUCCCUAGGGAGAGAAGCAAGUCAAGGGGCCCUGGGCCUGAGAAGGGCAGGGCACAGAGGGGGGAAGUGAAUCUCUGGAGGAAGAGGAAACUGAGAGGCGAGAGAAAGAGGAAGCAGGAGAAAAUUCACAAACACAACUACAGCAGAUGGAGAAGGCAAGAUGGCAGAGGAAAGCCCACCCUGUCUCAGGCAGGCAUUUCUUGCCUGGACGAAAGGUCUCUCUUCCAUCAUCCUUACCCUCACUCAUUCUACUCUCAACCAUCAGCCAGAGAGUACUCCCCACCCCGAGCUUCUAGGUCAAUUCAUGCCCCUCCUCCAUUCAGAACCCUGAUGGGGCUCCCACCUCCCUCAGAGGACAAGUUCCUGCUGUCCUACACCCCUGAUGUGACUCAGGAAGCCAUCGGAGCAUAGGGCUUGCAUAUAUGGCCCCCCAACUCAAGCUGCCUAGGCUAAACUCUCAGCUCUGCUGUUUACUAGCUGUGCAGUGUCCCCAUCUGCAAAGUGAAGAUCAAAUGGUCUCCACAGCAGGGUCAGCAAGCUUUUUCUAUAAAGAAUCAGAUAGUAGAGACUGGGGUUGUGGCUCGGUGGUGGAGCACUUGCCUAGCACUUGUGAGGUUCUCACAAGUGGGUUUUUUAUUUUUAUGUGGGUUCGGUCCUCAGCUCCACAUAAAAAUAAAUAAAUAAAACAAAGGUAUUGUGUUCAUCUACAACUUGAAAAAAACAAAAACCUAGGUAGUAAAUAUUUUUGACUUUGCAUGGUCUCUACUCAGCUCUGCUGUGAAGUAGUGCCACAGUCACAGACAAUAUGUAG